This 73-nucleotide transfer RNA is filed under the name Pipa pipa. Its description in RNAcentral is "tRNA-Asn". It matches the Rfam family "tRNA". Rfam says of the family: Transfer RNA (tRNA) molecules are approximately 80 nucleotides in length. Their secondary structure includes four short double-helical elements and three loops (D, anti-codon, and T loops). Lineage: Eukaryota; Metazoa; Chordata; Amphibia; Anura; Pipidae. The record is from RNAcentral.
UAGAAAAAAGCUCGCUGGAUAGAGUGCUUAGCUGUUAACUAAGAUAUUGAGGGAUCGAGGCCCCCUUUUCUAG